UUUGUGGUAGCCGCGCUGUGUGAAGCUGUCAGUGUCAACGAACAAGCCAGGAGUCCUCGGACAAGUGGACUCCCUCUGAGGGAGCGGCUGAUACGACUUGCUAAACAUUGUUAGUCAGAUGUUAUUGUACUGUCCCCUCAUCAUGCCUCCAUCUGUGCCUGGACUGGAAGGCCUCACAGGCCUCACUGGCCCCAUUCAGCAGUUGGCCAUGCACUUUCUGGGCCAAAGUGGCAUUUCACAGCCUCAACAAGGUGACAGCAUUACCUUUACAGAUGAGCUCAGGCAGCUGUGGCCACACCAGGUUCUGUUGAAGAACUGCUUGGUGUUUUUUUUUGUAGGAUCUGUAGCAAUUAUAAAUAUUGUCAUAUUGUCAUCUUAGAUCCCGACCAUAUUGAGGGCAAUAUCGAAAAGAAAAAAAGAUUACUUGUUACUCCUUUUUUUGACAAACACAUAACAAACAUUUGAUAAGGGACACCAAAAAUAAAUGUGUAAGAGCUUUCUGGUUCCUAAAUUACCUCAAACAUUUGUUAUUUCUGCACUGAAAUUUCUUUUUUGUCAUUUUGGCUGGCAUAUAGGCUACACCAAUAUAUAUAUAUAUAUUAAAUUAAAAAAGGCCAAUAUUAGCCACUAUGGUGUAGUGGUCAGGCUCUAAAUCAUACUAAUAAAAAGACCAGAUAUUCUGUAUUGUGUCUGUUCUUUAUAGCAUAUUUUUGUAAUAUGUCUUGUGUUAUGUGGUCUCUUCUGUUUCUGUAAAACCAGAUAAAGAUUGUUACUCCUUUUUUUGACAAACACAUAACAAACAUUUGAUAAGGGACACCAAAAAUAAAUGUGUAAGAGCUUUCUGGUUUCUAAAUUACCUCAAACAUUUGUUAUUUCUGCACUGAAAUUUCUUUUUUGUCAUUUUGGCUGGCAUAUAGGCUACACCAAUAUAUAUAUAUAUAUUAAAUUAAAAAAGGCCAAUAUUAGCCACUAUGGUGUAGUGGUCAGGCUCUAAAUCAUACUAAUAAAAAGACCAGAUAUUCUGUAUUGUGUCUGUUCUUUAUAGCAUAUUUUUGUAAUAUGUCUUGUGUUAUGUGUUCUCUUCUGUU
Perca fluviatilis (European perch) is the source of this 1088-nucleotide long non-coding RNA. RefSeq lists it as uncharacterized. The transcript is spliced from 3 exons. The record is from RefSeq and is a predicted model, not a curated record. NCBI's taxonomy places the organism in Eukaryota, Metazoa, Chordata, Actinopteri, Perciformes, Percidae.